Molecule: ribosomal RNA, 235 nt
Filed under: uncultured bacterium
Lineage: Bacteria
Description: partial 16S ribosomal RNA
Rfam family: Bacterial small subunit ribosomal RNA
Source: RNAcentral
UGGCGGACGGGUGAGUAAUGUCUGGGAAACUGCCUGAUGGAGGGGGAUAACUACUGGAAACGGUAGCUAAUACCGCAUAACGUCGCAAGACCAAAGAGGGGGACCUUAGGGCCUCUUGCCAUCGGAUGUGCCCAGAUGGGAUUAGCUAGUAGGUGGGGUAACGGUUCACCUAGGCGACGAUCCCUAGCUGGUCUGAGAGGAUGACCAGCCACACUGGAACUGAGACACGGUCCAG